Molecule: ribosomal RNA, 497 nt
Filed under: uncultured bacterium
Lineage: Bacteria
Description: partial 16S ribosomal RNA
Rfam family: Bacterial small subunit ribosomal RNA
Source: RNAcentral
GAUGAACGCUGGCGGCGUGCCUAAUACAUGCAAGUCGAGCGAACAGACGAGGAGCUUGCUCCUCUGACGUUAGCGGCGGACGGGUGAGUAACACGUGGAUAACCUACCUAUAAGACUGGGAUAACUUCGGGAAACCGGAGCUAAUACCGGAUAAUAUAUUGAACCGCAUGGUUCAAUAGUGAAAGACGGUUUUGCUGUCACUUAUAGAUGGAUCCGCGCCGCAUUAGCUAGUUGGUAAGGUAACGGCUUACCAAGGCGACGAUGCGUAGCCGACCUGAGAGGGUGAGGCGGCAGCAGUGAAUAGACACACGGAACGGACUCAGACGGGGAGCAGCAGCGCCGAACGUGCGACGAUGGUCGUCAGACUGAAAGAGCAAGUUCGCGGGAAAGAUCAAGUGUUUAGGUUCCUAAGCCCCUUUUGAUAGCGAAGAACAAAUGUGCAAGUACCUACGCACGUCCAGACGGUACCGUAUCAGAAAGCAACGGCUACCUACGUG